AGGGCACCACCAGGAGUGGAGCCUGCGGCUUAAUUUGACUCAACACGGGAAAACUCACCCGGCCAGGACACCGUAAGGAUUGACAGACUGAGAGCUCUUUCUUGAUUCGGUGGGUGGUGGUGCAUGGCCGUUCUUAGUUGGUGGAGUGAUUUGUCUGGUUAAUUCCGAUAACGAACGAGACUCUAGCCUGCUAAAUAGACGGGCGAUCCCGUUGUGGGUCGACCCGAUUUGCUUCUUAGAGGGACAAGUGGCGUUCCUAGCCACGCGAAAUUGAGCAAUAACAGGUCCGUGAUGCCCUUAGAUGUCCGGGGCCGCACGCGCGCUACAAUGAGGGACGCAGUGUGCCCGCAAAGCCUGACCCGAAAGGGUUGGGUAAUCAUUUCAAUUUUCCUCCUAAUUAGGAUUGAAGAUUGUAACUUUUGCUCAUGGAACAAGAAUUCCCUGUAAGCGCGGGGUCUUAGCUUGCGUUUACUACCUUCCUGCCCCUUGUACCACACGGCCCGUCGCUACAACCGAUUG
Molecule: ribosomal RNA, 519 nt
Filed under: uncultured eukaryote
Lineage: Eukaryota
Description: bacterial SSU rRNA
Rfam family: Eukaryotic small subunit ribosomal RNA
Source: RNAcentral